RNAcentral lists this long non-coding RNA (751 nucleotides) under Monodelphis domestica (gray short-tailed opossum). RNAcentral's name for it is "lncRNA (ENSMODG00000048865.1)". The record is from RNAcentral. Lineage: Eukaryota; Metazoa; Chordata; Mammalia; Didelphimorphia; Didelphidae.
ACUGAAGUGAUCCUUUUUUUUCCAUGUAGAAAAACUGAGGAUGUCAGGACUGGACCUAGGAUUUCAUCUCUUUAGGAGAACUUCCAAAUAAGGAAAUUCCCCCAAUCAAUGCAGGGGGUCUGAGCUGGCUUUAGCACAUCCCUGCCGGAUCCUCACCAGAAGAUGUAGCAGAGGACAGGAACAGGAGGUGCACAGAAGAAUUACAAGCUGCACCACGGAAAGGAAUCCCCGGCUCAAUCAGAUCACAUAUCUAUUCAAGUUUCGAGCUAUUUCUUGACCAUUCUGCCUGCUCAGCCAACCCUGUCUUUUGAAUCAUCAGAACUUGAUACUGUGAGCACUUUAUCUUCUCUUAGAUGUGAUUCAGGACUCAGGGGAGCUAAGUCUUUGAGAGGGAAGAGGAUCUCCCACCUGGUAGAUCUUAAGAAGACUUCCUGGAAAACUGUUUGAGACCAAUCUUUUGGCUGUCAGCUUUCUAGGGGCAAAAGAACCUCAUUGAACCAAGCUCAGCCAGGCCUCUGGAUGACAGAUGUAGAGUUUACCAACUGCAUACAGAAACCUCCAUAGCAGAGGCAGCUAAGUAGAAGCUGGACCUGGAAGCAGGAAAACCUGAGACACUUACUAGGUGGGUGUCUGACAUUUAUAGGAUCCUCCUGGCUGUACUACCCUAAGGUUUGUUCCUACGAAAGGUAAAAAAGACUUCUUCACUUUAUGGAGUAAAAGAAUAAAAAGAAAUGAGACAUUUGAAAACUCA